This is an RNA transcript of Cyclopterus lumpus (lumpfish), 2253 nucleotides long. It is a transcript of the gene named HemK methyltransferase family member 1, with no coding region annotated. NCBI's taxonomy places the organism in Eukaryota, Metazoa, Chordata, Actinopteri, Perciformes, Cyclopteridae. The record is from RefSeq and is a predicted model, not a curated record. The transcript has 11 exons.
CUGCGCAAUGUGCGCAGUGUGUGUAGACUUGUGUCAACAGUUGAAGAGGGUUGCUGCGCCAUGUGUAGGAAAUACUAUCGACAGUAUCUACUAGCUUGCCAUGGGUGGCAUACAAUGUAGCUUAAUGUCCAUAUAAGGCGGUUCGAAUGGUACACAUGACCUAGAAAGUGUACAUAGAGGACAACAGAAUAGCGAAAGACGCCUACACAAACGAUGUGUCCCUGUAAAACGUAAAUAAUGAUGAUGUAAACAGAGCGUGUACGUAUAGCUUGAUCAUGUGGAGGUUAUCUCUGAGUGCAGGCUACCGAGGCUUUGGGUGCAGGAUUGUUGGACCAAAGGGACUUUGGGGCUCCCGUGUGGUGCAUACAUGCAGCGCUCCAGCCAUACCUGCAGGCCGGAUCACAGCACUUCAGGCAGUGGAUUUGUGGAAGAAUCACUUCACGGAGAGAGGCGUGAUGGAGCCCGACCACUCCAGCCUCUACAUUAUGGCUUACCUGCUCGGUGCUAAAACUAUAGAAAGUCUUGAGCAGGAGAAGUUAUCAGAGUUUCUAAGCCCAGAAAAAACCGAGCAGAUGUGGAAGCUCUGCUCUAGACGCCUAUCCAGAAUGCCUGUGCAGUAUGUGAUUGAGGAGUGGGACUUCAGAGAUCUGACACUGAAGAUGAGACCUCCUGUGUUCAUACCAAGACCUGAAACUGAGGAGUUGGUUGAACUCAUGCUCAAUGAUCUGGAGAUGAAGCCCGGCACUGGAAUUGGUGCAGACUCCCAGCAUACAUGCUUGGAAGUGGGAUGUGGCUCUGGUGCCAUUUCUCUGAGUCUGCUGAAGAGUCUGCCUCAGCUUAAAGUUACUGCUCUGGAUCAAAGCCAGGAUGCGGUGGAUUUAACAAGAGCGAAUGCGUUAAUGUAAGCACACGUUGGGGCUUCAGGACAGAUUACAGAUUCAUUGUUUAGAUGUAAUGAAAGAUGCAGAAACUGUGUUAAGCCUUUGUCGCCAUGUCUCAACUUUGGUCAGUAACCCCCCGUACCUGUUCUCAGAGGAUAUGACCACGUUGGAACCUGAAAUAUUUCUGUUUGAAGACCAUGCUGCUUUAGAUGGAGGUAAAGACGGCCUGAAAGUAAUCAAACAGAUUUUGACUCUGGCUCCUCAGAUUCUAUCAAAUCAUGGACGUGUUUACUUGGAGGUGGAUCCCAGACACCCCCCGCUCAUUCAACGGUGGGUGGAGGUGAAUGUGGAAGAGAUGCGUUAUGUGGAGACUCGGCACGACAUCACCGGCAGGCCACGAUUUUGCAUCCUUCGGAAAGAGAAGUCAAACAAGUACCACAAGCUGGAUCUGGAUUGAGAAACUGAGAUCCUAUUACACUGGCUUUAGCCCAGGUCGCCACAGCCUCAGCUCCCCUACCCCCGCUGAGCCGCCGAGCACGGGCACGAGCACGUGCACGUGCCUGCACCAAUUUCAUUACUCAAAAUUCACCACUUGCAGAGGCUCAAAACAUUUUCAUGUCUCUGUUGCACUUUUAAUCUGGUAACAUGUCUGAUCACAUCCUGCGCCACGAUUAAAAAAAAGUAAAAAACUGUGUGCGAGGUGGCACAAAAGCAGACUGAAAGCUGAAGGUAAUUACUGAGGCUUUUCUUAGAACCCUCCCUCUUAGAAUCUCACCCUCCUCCCAGGAAGCAUUCAGCAGUUCUGUGAAUCCGCUGAUGAACGGUCCUCCCCUUCGCUCGUCCACUCGCUGAGUCAGAUGCAGGCUGUACACAUUGUUGAGCAAAAACACACACACGCACACACGCACACAUGCACAUACACACAGACACAAUGUGGCCUUUACUUCCUCACACAAUCCGCAUCUCUUACACACUUAAAGCUCAAAGUCUUUGUGUUUCAAAGGUGAUUUGAAAGCAGAACAUAUUUCGUAACAAGUGUCACAAGAGCAAGUCAUCAUGUGCCAUUAAAUAAAGAUGAUGAUGAUGGACAGUACUUCUCUUUAUCCUGUGAGUAAAACUGCCAGUUGUAAAGAGAAAAUGAUUUUAAGGACAGCAAGUUGGACUCCAAUCGGUUAUUUUAAUAGAAAAAUGUACACAUGUAAAAGGUAGAAAAAAUGUUUUACUGAGAAAAAUAAAACUGCGUAAAAGAUGUCUCAAUGGAAUCAGUGUACUUAACAGUAUGCACUUCCAGAACUGAUUAUGGUAAUACAGAUAUGGACAAUUUCCACAUCCAUCAUGACAUAAAGAUUACAGUACUGAGAUUUGCUCACAA